UGGGGGAAUAUUGCACAAUGGGCGCAAGCCUGAUGCAGCCAUGCCGCGUGUGUGAAGAAGGCCUUCGGGUUGUAAAGCACUUUUGUCCGGAAAGAAAUCCUUGGCUCUAAUACAGUCGGGGGAUGACGGUACCGGAAGAAUAAGCACCGGCUAACUACGUGCCAGCAGCCGCGGUAAUACGUAGGGUGCAAGCGUUAAUCGGAAUUACUGGGCGUAAAGCGUGCGCAGGCGGUUUGCUAAGACCGAUGUGAAAUCCCCGGGCUCAACCUGGGAACUGCAUUGGUGACUGGCAGGCUAGAGUAUGGCAGAGGGGGGUAGAAUUCCACGUGUAGCAGGUGAAAUGCGUAGAGAUGUGGAGGAAUACCGAUGGCGAAGGCAGCCCCCUGGGCCAAUACUGACGCUCAUGCACGAAAGCGUGGGGAGCAAACAGGAUUAGAUACCCUGGUAGUCCACGCCCUAAAAGCGAUGUCAACUAGUUGUUGGGGAUUCAUUUCCUUAGUAACGUAGCUAACGCGUGAAGUUGACCGCCUGGGGAGUACGGUCGCAAGAUUAAACUCAAAUGAAUUGACGGGGUCAUAGCUGUUUCCUG
RNAcentral lists this ribosomal RNA (589 nucleotides) under uncultured bacterium. RNAcentral's name for it is "partial 16S ribosomal RNA". It matches the Rfam family "Bacterial small subunit ribosomal RNA", at positions 354 to 1376 of the family's 1533-position model. The record is from RNAcentral.